RNAcentral lists this ribosomal RNA (492 nucleotides) under uncultured bacterium. RNAcentral's name for it is "bacterial SSU rRNA". It matches the Rfam family "Bacterial small subunit ribosomal RNA", at positions 29 to 509 of the family's 1533-position model. The record is from RNAcentral.
AGUGAACGCUGGCGGCAGGCCUAAUACAUGCAAGUCGAACGGCAGCACAGCAGAGCUUGCUCUAUGGGUGGCGAGUGGCGGACGGGUGAGGAAUACAUGGGAAUCUGCCCAGUCGUGGGGGAUAACGUAGGGAAACUUACGCUAAUACCGCAUGCGCCCUUCGGGGGAAAGCCGGGGACCUUCGGGCCUGGCGCGAUUGGAUGAGCCCAUGUCGGAUUAGCUAGUUGGCGGGGUAAUGGCCCACCAAGGCGACGAUCCGUAGCUGGUCUGAGAGGAUGAUCAGCCACACUGGAACUGAGACACGGUCCAGACUCCUACGGGAGGCAGCAGUAGGGAAUAUUGGACAAUGGGCGCAAGCCUGAUCCAGCCAUGCCGCGUGAGUGAAGAAGGCCCUCGGGUUGUAAAGCUCUUUUGUCCGGAAAGAAAAGCGCCGGGUUAAUACCCUAGUGUCCUGACGGUACCGGAAGAAUAAGCACCGGCUAACUUCGUGCC